This 1118-nucleotide long non-coding RNA is filed under the name Phasianus colchicus (ring-necked pheasant). Its description in RNAcentral is "lncRNA (ENSPCLG00000015026.1)". Lineage: Eukaryota; Metazoa; Chordata; Aves; Galliformes; Phasianidae. The record is from RNAcentral.
CUGCCCAUCGCUAUUGUCACUGACAAUGGGAACUGCCCGGCCCUGCUCACCGACAGCACCAUUAGCCCAAAUAUUUGCUUCCCGUCUCCAGGGUGACGGGGUUGCCAGCGCUCACCCACAUGCCUCCUUUGAUCAUUUUCCUCUUGAUCUUCUGCACACCAGUUCCCUGCGCUCCUCUCCGUCUCUCGCUCCUCGUGGGGAGGCGGGGAGCUGGUGCAGCAUCUUCCAGCAAGGGACUGCAGGCAGGCAGCUUCCCUUUGCUGUGCAUCCGUUUUUUUCCUCCCUUUUUGGUUCCUUUUUACCCUAUCUCACCUAUGGAGAUGGUAAAACAGGAGGUGAGGGCUGCUGUGUCCCCAAGGAGCUCAAGAGUCCAAAGCAAACCCCAUGGCUACCACCAUCAUCUCUCCAUGGCCACAGCCAUCGUCUCAUCACCACCACCAUCAUCUCCCCAUGGCCUCAACCACGGCAUCCCCAUGGCUACCAGCAUCUUCCCACAGUCACCACCAUCAUCUCCUCAUCACCGCCACCACCAUUUCCCCAUCAUCACAACCAUGGCAUCUCCCCGUGGCCACCAUCAUUUUCCCGUGGCAACCAUCAUCUCCCACUGGCCACAACCACAGCAUCUCCCUAUGGCCACCAUCAUUUCCCUGUGGCCACCAUCAUUUCCCCAUGGCCACCAUCAUCUCCCACUGGCCACAACCACAGCAUCUCCCUAUGGCCACCAUCAUUUCCCCAUGGCCACCAUCAUCUCCCACUGGCCACAACCACAGUAUCUCCCACUGGCCACCAUCAUCUCCCCGUGGCCACCAUCAUCUCCCACUGGCCACAACCACAGCAUCUCCCUAUGGCCACCAUCAUCUCCCCAUGGCCUCAACCACAGCAUCUCCCUCUGGCCACCAUCAUUUCCCUGUGGCCACCAUAAUUUCCCCGUGGCCACCAUCAUCUCCCACUGGCCACAACCACAGCAUCUCCCUAUGGCCACCAUCAUUUCCCCAUGGCUACCAUCAUCUCCCACUGGCCACAACCACAGCAUCUCCCUCUGGCCACCAUCAUUUCCCUGUGGCCACCAUCAUUUCCCUGUGGCCACCAUCAUCUCCCACUGGCCACCGUCAUCUCCC